AUUGAACGCUGGCGGCAUGCCUUACACAUGCAAGUCGAACGGCAGCACGGGAGCAAUCCUGGUGGCGAGUGGCGAACGGGUGAGUAAUACAUCGGAACGUGCCCAGUAGUGGGGGAUAACCCGGCGAAAGCCGGACUAAUACCGCAUACGACCUACGGGUGAAAGCGGGGGAUCGCAAGACCUCGCGCUAUCGGAGCGGCCGAUGUCAGAUUAGCUAGUUGGUGGGGUAAAGGCCUACCAAGGCGACGAUCUGUAGCUGGUCUGAGAGGACGACCAGGCACACUGGGACUGAGACACGGCCCAGACUCCUACGGGAGGCAGCAGUGGGGAAUUUUGGACAAUGGGCGCAAGCCUGAUCCAGCCAUGCCGCGUGCGGGAAGAAGGCCUUCGGGUUGUAAACCGCUUUUGUCAGGGAAGAAACGCUCCGGGCUAAUACCACGGAGUAAUGACGGUACCUGAAGAAUAAGCACCGGCUAACUACGUG
Molecule: ribosomal RNA, 484 nt
Filed under: uncultured bacterium
Lineage: Bacteria
Description: partial 16S ribosomal RNA
Rfam family: Bacterial small subunit ribosomal RNA
Source: RNAcentral